GGUAGCGUGGCCGAGCGGUCUAAUGCGCUGGUGUAAGGCACCAGUCAUUUCGAUGGCGUGGGUUCGAAUCCCACCGCUGCCA
Molecule: non-coding RNA, 82 nt
Organism: Strongylocentrotus purpuratus (purple sea urchin)
Lineage: Eukaryota; Metazoa; Echinodermata; Echinoidea; Camarodonta; Strongylocentrotidae
Source: Rfam